Molecule: long non-coding RNA, 1042 nt
Organism: Tupaia belangeri chinensis (Chinese tree shrew)
Lineage: Eukaryota; Metazoa; Chordata; Mammalia; Scandentia; Tupaiidae
Exons: 3
Source: RefSeq, a predicted model, not a curated record
UGAACCGCAGUUGGCCAUGUGGAGUCCAGCACCUUUAACCGCCACACCACCUGCCGACGCCAUUCCCUAUUCCUGUUAUUAGCAUUACUUUUGCAACCCCUGCCAUUCCUGGUAUUCGUAGCUAGAGGUUUACUGAGUGCUUACUAUGCGUGGGGUGCCUGUGUGUACAGUACCCUGGGCGGUCUGCACAGCCAUGUCCUGAGUAGAUACCGUCAUUUUAUAGAUGAGAAAACCGAGGCAGAGGCCUAACUGAACUGACUAGGAGGUUCCAGUGCCCUGGCAGAGCUGAGGGCCAGGAGGAUGGGGCUAAUAACACCUUUGGGGGGCCAGCGGGUGGUGUGGAGGUUGAGGCACUGUACCCCCACAUGGCUGACUGCAUGGCCCACGACCUGGACCUAUUGGCUUGAAAAAUAUGCCAGGCAUUGCAUACGCCCUAUAACAAAAAACAAAAAGGCCAACUCUGGAAGUUGAAAAGAUUUCUGAGAAUGUCUACAGAAGUGCUCUGUGCAGCCCAGCCACAUGGCACACGGACGAUCCUCUUCUCUGGCCUGGCCACUAACUUCAUCUGUGAACAUCACUUCCAGCCUCCCGCCACUGCUGCGGCACCUUGGGUCCUCUGACCUCACAUGUGUGCUCGAGAUACAAUCUCCGUGCGUCCUUAGCACUCUCGUCUGUGUCAUGCAUCAGGGGAGACGGCCUCGGGACAGUGGUGACUGAUUUUCCUGGUCAAAACACAGUGUCUGUGCCUUAGCCACUGUCACCGGCUCCCACAUGGCCGACCGCUGUUCAAGUCCCAGACCUGGCUGCUUGAAACUCACACCAGGGGCACGUGUGCAUGCGUGUCCACAAUCCCGAGAGGAGAAUGGAAGGAAAGGGGUUGUGGUGUGGCCAUCCCCCCGGGGGGUGAUUUCUAGCUUUUUCUCUGUCUCUCCCAUGAUCACGUGCACCUUUAUAGCAAAAAUCUAACCACAAAAACCCAGGGCCUGGGCAGUGGCCACAGACUUGGAAGUGAGCAUGUGAGGGCCCAAGCCUCUUUGCUGUC